CUUUGUCAAACAAUCCAUAAACUCUUAAUGCCACAUAGCACAAGAUAGUUGCAAGACAAGUUCUGAGAACCAGCUAAAACAACAACAACAAAAAAAAAUCAAUGAGAGACAGUUUCUCCCAAUUUACAAUGUGAUCAUAGGACAUAGCAUUUCAUAUCAUACCCUUUUUACCCAUUAAGGGAACGGCUCAUGUUUUGGGAAGUUCGCCCCCUCCAGCUCAGGGUUCCUUGGUGGGAUUCUCGCUCUUCCUAUCAAUAUCAGUUGCAGUGGCUGCCAGAAGAUUUGGUAGCUGUGGAUGCCCGGGGCUGUAAAUCUAGGCCAGGGGUUGUGUGGGAUGCUCAGAUAAAUGGGUUGGGCUUUGUUUUAUUGCAACACUGCAUGUCUUAACUUUCUGUGUCUACCAGGGAUUUAGGAAAAUUUGCCACUGUCCUUGGGCCUCUCUCUGCAACAGCAGCUCUGAGUUGGGGUUGAGUCAGCCCUGGUGCCCCGAGAUUACAUAAAUAUCCUCUAUGAGCCAUUCACCACUAUAUCCAUGCUGCCACUGUUUUGGUUUGCUUUUUUUUUCUUCUUAUCUUUAGCAGCAUUUUGUUUUUUUUUGUUGCGUGGGUGCAGGGUGGGAGUCUCAGAUUAAAAGGGAAACUGAGGAUCUUCAUUUAACCCAAUUUGACGAGUCCUUUCACACUGUGCCCGACAAUUAAAUGUGGAGAGUCACCAUUUUCUCAAUGGAGGAUGUUUCUGCUCUCGUGUCCUCUGCUCGGGACCUAUAAAGGUCUCUGCAUGUGAUGCAGCUGUUUGUCAUUCGUGUGCAACUGAGCAUCUACGCAAAGGAGAAGUGGGCCACUGAGACACAAAGCAAUAUUAACCCUGAGGAAAUGUGUCACAUUUCUGAAUGUCUUUUGUGAUAAGGUUUCUUUUCUUCCCAGUGCCUCCUCUCAAAAAGCACAGCGAUAGACAAAGGCAAAGAUACGGCUUAUUAGAACUAUUUCUAUCCAACAGUAUCAUUUCACUCUUCUACUUUAAGACUGGACUGCCCACCACUAUUAUGUCAUUCAGCACCUGCACUUCAACCACGGCUGAAAUCCACAGUGGGCGCAGGCCAAAAGGACCUACAGAGAGAGAAACUACAUCUCUGGAGUCUCUUGUCCUAAAUCUAACUUCCUGUUGUUGUGGCUCGA
Molecule: long non-coding RNA, 1175 nt
Organism: Acanthopagrus latus (yellowfin seabream)
Lineage: Eukaryota; Metazoa; Chordata; Actinopteri; Spariformes; Sparidae
Exons: 2
Source: RefSeq, a predicted model, not a curated record